Salarias fasciatus (jewelled blenny) is the source of this 1360-nucleotide long non-coding RNA. RefSeq lists it as uncharacterized. The transcript has 8 exons. Lineage: Eukaryota; Metazoa; Chordata; Actinopteri; Blenniiformes; Blenniidae. The record is from RefSeq and is a predicted model, not a curated record.
GAGGCGGAGCUUCAGUCUCAGAGAAGAGAAAGAGAAAUCCAAGAUGUUGGGAGAUCAUCAGGAAGAUGAUCACUGAAAUUUCAAGCAUUUUGUCCAUUUCAGUGUGGCUCAGCUUGAAAUUUACUGAGAACACCAGUCUGUUGUUCAGCUGUCUUUAAAACCUGUCUGAGUCCAAUGAAUCGUCCAUUUAGAAAAGGAUGUUGGCUUUUACGGUGUCCUCUCCUCAGAGACUCCACUAUAUAUAUGUAUGUUCUGGGAUUUUCAGUCAUGUUCUAUUGCCUCACAUGGGCCGCACGAUUAAUGUUGGAAUGUCAAGCUAAUAAAUUUGGCUAUCAGUAAAAAUUAAUGAUUAUCACCGGUAACUAAAGAAUUUGGGAUCUGAUGUUCAUCAGAAAACCUCGGGGCACCACCUGCCUUUAGUAGGAAAAGAACCAAUCUGUUGUAAUCAGUCUCAAUAACUUGGUUAAACUAUUAAUUUGGAAUUUGGAUUAAUAAUGACAUUAUUAGCAAUUACCAAAUUUUACCAGUAAAACCUGAAGGAUUCUGGAGUUCUUGGACAGAAGAGAUCAACAUUCCAUUCAUAACUGUGAAACAUCAAUGACACAAAGGAUCCCAAAAAGUAUGUUUAUUAAUAAUAAAGCAAAACCAAACACACAACUCUGUCAUGGUCGGUGUGCAGUUAGACCCAACACAGAGAGACAGAAGCAGGAUUAACGGUCGAGCAGGUUUAUUCGGUGCAGGAAAACCAGGAGGACUGCAGCCUGGCAGCAGCGUCACAGGUUGGAUAGAGAAGAAAACCAGUUGUUGCAGUGCAGCUUUGGUAAGAAGUUUAUCAAACACUCUGGGUCCUGGAUAAAAGCCUGAGUCCUCCGUACACCGUCACACCGUCAAGAUGUUUGUUCUGAAGACUUUCCUUCUGCUGCUGGUUGCUGGAGCUGUGCUGGUGUCAGGAACUGCUCCAUCCACCGCCACGGAGGAAACUCAAACUGAAGCUGUACGGGCUCAACGUGACCUCUUCAACCUGCCACCUGUACAUGGACUGACAGGAAAUGGAGUACCUCCAGGACAUGGACUGGCAGAAAAUGCUCCUCUACCACCUCACGGGGGGUAGAUGCUGUCUGAUGUUCUACAGAACAUCCGUCGGUAGUGAUGGCGUCCUCAUGACCAUUAAAGGGAUGGAUGGAGACGUCUUCUGGGACUAAACAUCUGCAGAUCACCUUCACCAUGAGUCACUGCUUCAUCUGAAAUCAUCUUCUCCUUUUAAAAUCAUCUUCUUCCUUCAAUAUCAUCUUCUCCUUUUAAAAUCAUCUUCUCCUUUUAAAAUCAUCUUCUUCACUAAAAAGCAUCAAUAAAAAUCUCA